GUGAGGAAUAUGAAGUUGAGAAAGGGGUGGUGCUGGAGGUGAGGAAUAUGAAGUUGAGAAAGGGGUGGUGCUGGAGGUGAGGAAUAUGAAGUUGAGAAAGGGGUGGUGCUGGAGAUGAGGGAUAUGAAGUUGAGAAAGGGGUGGUGCUGGAGGUGAGGAAUAUGAAGUUGAGAAAGGGGUGGUGCUGGAGGUGAGGAAUAUGAAGUUGAGAAAGGGGUGGUGCUGGAGGUGAGGAAUGAAGUUGAGAAAGGGGUGGUGCUGGAGGUGAGGGAUAUGAAGUUGAGAAAGGGGUGGUGCUGGAGGUGAGGAAUAUGAAGUUGAGAAAGGGGUGGUGCUGGAGGUGAGGAAUAUGAAGUUGAGAAAGGGGUGGUGCUGGAGAUGAGGAAUAUGAAGUUGAGAAAGGGGUGGUGCUGGAGGUGAGGAAUAUGAAGUUGAGAAAGGGGUGGUGCUGGAGGUGAGGAAUAUGAAGUUGAGAAAGGGGUGGUGCUGGAGGUGAGGGAUAUGAAGUUGAGAAAGGGGUGGUGCUGGAGGUGAGGGAUAUGAAGUUGAGAAAGGGGGAAAUGUCCUUUUAAUAUAUUGAUUUUGAACAACACCUGGAUACCUUGGC
Oncorhynchus tshawytscha (Chinook salmon) is the source of this 607-nucleotide long non-coding RNA. Lineage: Eukaryota; Metazoa; Chordata; Actinopteri; Salmoniformes; Salmonidae. The record is from Ensembl.